RNAcentral lists this ribosomal RNA (252 nucleotides) under uncultured bacterium. RNAcentral describes it as "partial 16S ribosomal RNA". It matches the Rfam family "Bacterial small subunit ribosomal RNA", at positions 524 to 776 of the family's 1533-position model. The record is from RNAcentral.
UACAUAGGGUGCGAGCGUUGUCCGGAAUUAUUGGGCGUAAAGAGCUCGUAGGCGGCUUGUCGCGUCGGAUGUGAAAGCCCGGGGCUUAACUCCGGGUCUGCAUUCGAUACGGGCAGGCUAGAGUUCGGUAGGGGAGAUCGGAAUUCCUGGUGUAGCGGUGAAAUGCGCAGAUAUCAGGAGGAACACCGGUGGCGAAGGCGGAUCUCUGGGCCGAUACUGACGUGAGGAGCGAAAGCGUGGGGAGCAAACAGG